UCUGGUUGAUCCUGCCAGUAGUCAUAUGCUUGUCUCAAAGAUUAAGCCAUGCAUGUCUAAGUAUAAAUAGUAUACAGUGAAACUGCGAAUGGCUCAUUAAAACAGUUAUAGUUUAUUUGAUAAUUGACAAUUACAUGGAUAACCGUGGUAAUUCUAGAGCUAAUACAUGCUUAAACGCCCGACUUUAUGGAAGGGUGGUAUUUAUUAGACUGAAGCCAAUAUUCCUUGUGUCUACUGCGGUGAUUCAUAAUAACUGAUCGAAUCUCUUUUUGAGAUAAAUCAUUCAAGUUUCUGCCCUAUCAGCUUUCGAUGAUAGUGUAUUGGACUACCAUGGCAGUAACGGGUAACGAAGAAUUAGGGUUCGAUUUCGGAGAGGGAGCAUGAGAAACGGCUACCACACCUAAGGAAGGCAGCAGGCGCGUAAAUUACCCAAUCCUGACUCAGGGAGGUAGUGACAAGAAAUAGCAAACCGGGAACCUCAUGGUUUCACGGUAUUGCAAUGAGAACAAUUUAAAACCCUUAGCGAGAAUCAAGUGGAGGACAAGUCUGGUGCCAGCACCCGCGGUAAUUCCAGCUCCACUAGCGUAUAUUAAAGUUGUUGCAGUUAAAAAGCUCGUAGUUGAACCUCUGUCUGGGGCUAGUUUUGGCUUUGGUCAGGCUAGUUCUAGGCAUCCGCCUACAAGACUUAGAGGGCAUUCAGUUGUUCACUAGGAGGAGUAGGCAUUUUACUUUGAAAAAAUUAGAGUGUUUAAGGCAGGCAAUCGCCCGCAUAUAUUAGCAUGGAAUAAUAGAAUAGGACACUUUUCCAUUUCGUUGGUUAUUGGAAUCGUGUAAUGAUUAAUAGGGACAGUUGUGGGCAUUUGUAUUUAAUUGUCAGAGGUGAAAUUCUUGGAUUUAUUAAAGACAAACUAACGCGAAAGCAUUUGCCAAGGAUGUUUUCAUUAAUCAAGAACGAAAGUUAGGGGAUCAAAGACGAUCAGAUACCGUCCUAGUCUUAACUAUAAACUAUUCCGACUCAAUGUUUGACUGGCUUAUAUAACCAGUUGAGCGUUGUAUGAGAAAUCAAAGUCUUUAGGUUCUGGGGGGAGUAUGGUUGCAAAGCUGAAACUUAAAGGAAUUGACGGAAGAGCACAACCAGGAGUGGAUUCUGCGGCUUAAUUUGACUCAACACGGGGAAACUUACCAGGUUAAAACAAUAGUGGGAUUGACAGUUUGAGAGCGCUUUCUUGAUUGGUUGGGUGGUGGUGCAUGGCCGUUCUUAGUUGGUGGAGUGAUUUGUCUGCUUAAUUGCGUUAACGAACGAGACCUUAACCUGCUUACC
This 1321-nucleotide ribosomal RNA is filed under the name metagenome. RNAcentral describes it as "SSU rRNA". It matches the Rfam family "Eukaryotic small subunit ribosomal RNA", at positions 1 to 1356 of the family's 1831-position model. The record is from RNAcentral.